This 419-nucleotide unclassified non-coding RNA is filed under the name soil metagenome. Its description in RNAcentral is "partial contains 5.8S ribosomal RNA, internal transcribed spacer 2, and large subunit ribosomal RNA". The stretch from base 1 to 120 matches the Rfam family "5.8S ribosomal RNA", at positions 35 to 154 of the family's 154-position model. The record is from RNAcentral.
GAUGAAGAACGUAGCGAAAUGCGAUACGUAAUGUGAAUUGCAGAAUUCAGUGAAUCAUCGAAUCUUUGAACGCAUCUUGCGCUCCUUGGUAUUCCUUGGAGCAUGCCUGUUUGAGUAUCAUGAGCAAAUCUCAAAGUCAAUUCCUUUUGUUAAUUCAAUUGGUUUUGCUUUGGACUUGGAGGUCUUGCAGAUUUUCACAGUCUGCUCCUCUUAAAUGCAUUAGCUGGAUCUCAGUAAUUAUGCUUGGUUCCACUCGGCGUGAUAAGUAUCACUCGCUGAGGACACUGUUAAAAAGGUGGCCAGGAAAAUACUGAUUGAACCGCUUCUAACGGUCUAUUAAGUUAGACAAUUACCCUUAAGUUUGAUCUCAAAUCAGGUAGGACUACCCGCUGAACUUAAGCAUAUCAAUAAGCGGAGGA